This 90-nucleotide transfer RNA is filed under the name Annulohypoxylon truncatum. RNAcentral describes it as "tRNA-Arg". It matches the Rfam family "tRNA". Rfam says of the family: Transfer RNA (tRNA) molecules are approximately 80 nucleotides in length. Their secondary structure includes four short double-helical elements and three loops (D, anti-codon, and T loops). Further hydrogen bonds mediate the characteristic L-shaped molecular structure. tRNAs have two regions of fundamental functional importance: the anti-codon, which is responsible for specific mRNA codon recognition, and the 3' end, to which the tRNAs corresponding amino acid is attached (by aminoacyl-tRNA synthetases). tRNAs cope with the degeneracy of the genetic code in two manners: having more than one tRNA (with a specific anti-codon) for a particular amino acid; and 'wobble' base-pairing, i.e. permitting non-standard base-pairing at the 3rd anti-codon position. Lineage: Eukaryota; Fungi; Ascomycota; Sordariomycetes; Xylariales; Hypoxylaceae. The record is from RNAcentral.
GCCGUACUAGAGAAAUGGUUAACUCGUCGGCCUCCUAGUUGUAUCAUCAAUUACAGCCGAAGAUUCCCGGUUCGAGUCCGGGGUGCGGUG